RNAcentral lists this ribosomal RNA (119 nucleotides) under Triticum aestivum (bread wheat). The record is from RNAcentral. Lineage: Eukaryota; Viridiplantae; Streptophyta; Magnoliopsida; Poales; Poaceae. RNAcentral also lists the same sequence under 1 other name.
GGAUGCGAUCAUACCAUCACUAAAGCACCGGAUCCCAUCAGAACUCCAAAGUUAAGUGUGCUUGGGAGAGAGUAGUACUAGGAUGGGUGACCUCCUGGGAAGUCCUGGUGCUGCAUUCC